Molecule: long non-coding RNA, 257 nt
Filed under: Panicum hallii
Lineage: Eukaryota; Viridiplantae; Streptophyta; Magnoliopsida; Poales; Poaceae
Description: long non-coding RNA (PHAL_LNC000826)
Source: RNAcentral
GGGAGGAUAGGAUAGCAUGCGUGGUCGGGACGAAAGGAAAAACGGGCCGCGGAGGAAGGGGAUAUAAGUUCGGUCUACGAAAGGAAAUACAGGCCAGUCCAAAACGGACCAAGAAAACAAUUUUUACUUUAGAAAUAUAUAGGUAGGGAAGAGGUAGUGUAAGAGAUAUAUCCUCCAACAGUUAAGAGUCAAAUAAUAGCUCAUACAUAUGGAUAGAUCCAUAUACCAACCUCAGUAAUUUGAAGUGUACGUAAGAC